GAUGAACGCUAGCGGGAGGCCUAACACAUGCAAGCCGAGCGGUAUUUCUUCUUCGGGAGAGAGAGAGCGGCGUACGGGUGCGGAACACGUGUGCAACCUGCCUUUAUCUAGAGGAUAGCCUUUCGAAAGGAAGAUUAAUACUCUAUAAUAUAUUAAUUUGCAUCAAUUGAUAUUGAAAACUCCGGUGGAUAGAGAUGGGCACGCGCAAGAUUAGCUAGUUGGUGAGGUAACGGCUCACCAAGGCAAUGAUCUUUAGGGGGCCUGAGAGGGUGAUCCCCCACACUGGUACUGAGACACGGACCAGACUCCUACGGGAGGCAGCAGUAAGGAAUAUUGGUCAAUGGGUGCAAGCCUGAACCAGCCAUCCCGCGUGAAGGAUUAAGGUCCUAUGGAUUGUAAACUUCUUUUGUAUAGGGAUAAACCUACCCUCGUGAGGGUAGCUGAAGGUACUAUACGAAUAAGCACCGGCUAACUCCGUGCCAGCCGCCGCAGUAA
RNAcentral lists this ribosomal RNA (495 nucleotides) under uncultured bacterium. RNAcentral's name for it is "partial 16S ribosomal RNA". It matches the Rfam family "Bacterial small subunit ribosomal RNA", at positions 28 to 523 of the family's 1533-position model. The record is from RNAcentral.